This 501-nucleotide ribosomal RNA is filed under the name uncultured bacterium. RNAcentral describes it as "partial 16S ribosomal RNA". It matches the Rfam family "Bacterial small subunit ribosomal RNA", at positions 30 to 523 of the family's 1533-position model. The record is from RNAcentral.
AUUGAACGCUGGCGGCAUGCCUUACACAUGCAAGUCGAACGGCAGCACGGGUGCUUGCACCUGGUGGCGAGUGGCGAACGGGUGAGUAAUACAUCGGAACGUACCUUAUCGUGGGGGAUAACGCAGCGAAAGUUGCGCUAAUACCGCAUACGCCCUGAGGGGGAAAGCGGGGGACCGUAAGGCCUCGCGCGAUUAGAGUGGCAGAUGUCUGAUUAGCUUGUUGGUGGGGUAAAAGCUCACCAAGGCGAUGAUCAGUAGCUGGUCUGAGAGGACGAUCAGCCACACUGGGACUGAGACACGGCCCAGACUCCUACGGGAGGCAGCAGUGGGGAAUUUUGGACAAUGGGGGCAACCCUGAUCCAGCAAUGCCGCGUGAGUGAAGAAGGCCUUCGGGUUGUAAAGCUCUUUUGUCAGGGAAGAAACAGCAGCUCUAACACAGUCUGCGAAUGACGGUACCUGAAGAAUAAGCACCGGCUAACUACGUGCCAGCCGCCGCCGUAA